CUCUUCCCUCUCGCUGCCGCGUUGCACUCAUGACCGUUUGAACGAGAAACCCAAAAAUCAUCAAUUUCAUCUCCUUCUCCAAACCAACACAACCAUACCUUCCAUCAGUCUUAAUCCGCACCCGAACCCUCGAACCCAGUUUGGGUUCGACAUUCCCGGCGACUUUCAUAAGUUUUCCGGUGGCGGCCGGCCCUGCAACCACAUCUAUUCGACUCAGGGGAGUCCCAACACAACAUUCGAGUUUUGCAUGCUCGAAUCUGCCCCUAGACAGAGGAGUUCCAUAAACCCAGCUCGCGGUGGGGUUUUCCGACGAAGAUCUGAGUUUUCCCCGACCGGUUUCAGGCCUUUCCGACCUUUUUUGGGUCCGGCGAAGGUGAUAUUCUUACUCUACACCCUCAAAUUAGCUUAGGUUGUGAAUUUGGUGUGCGAUGGUUGAGUUUUAAAGCUAAUCGGAAUCUCUGUGUUUUCCGGCCAAUUAGCACUCCCUGGGUAUGGCCACAUUCUGCAGAUCGAUUAAUGUGGUGGUUAAGUGCUGAAACGAUUCUGUUGCACUGAUUUUAUCUGUCGUAAAGCGCAAGAUAAUGGGGUUAAUCCUUAAAAUGGAGAAGGAAACAGGAGCUUAAUAAUUUAGAAUUCUGAAAGGCGAGAUGUUGCAGUUGGGUAAAAUCCUAGACAUAUAUAGACAUGUGUUUAUAAAAGUUAUGAUGAGAUCCUCAAAAAUAUCUGGCUGGAGGCCGUGUAUUUGUAGCAUGGGAGUCUGAUUGCUGCAUUGCAUGGAUAUGUGCAUUUCUUGAGUUUUUGUUUUUUUGUGUGUUGGAUUAGAUAUUGUUGUUAUGUUUAAGAAUUUGAAUCUGUUCAUAGUUAUUGAUUUCGUAUUAUUAUUAGCACGAUGCAUGAAUUGUGGUUAUUUAAAUUUUCUGACGGUUUGGAAAUGAUAAUUUGUUCGGAAACUUUUUUUAUUCUGGUUGGACAAAGUUAGUUGAUUAUCUGCAAAUUUCAUGAGGUUUUCAGUAGGACUGUUUACCAAGACUUUUGCAUGUAAAUAGUAUGUACAUGUACAUACACAUUAAGUAAUUUUACUUUUCCAGUAAUAUUAUUUUUCCAAUCCCGCAACAUUGUGUGGGCAAUGAUUGUUAGUUUUUAUCAUGGUCUAAAAUAUCUAUAAUAUACUGAUAUUUUCAUCGAAAUUUUUAUAUUUUUGGACUACCGAUAUUUUCGAUAUCAUCGAUAUUUUAGACAUUACUAAGUUACUCAUGUAUCUUGCCAUGCAACGUAUAAAGUGUAAAAUAUUGUACUAAUUCAUUAUAUAUAAAUGAUUAUGGUGUGUUUAAACUUCUUUCAUUAAUUACUACAUAUUUUCUACACUCACAAUGUUUGCCAGCUCGUUAUAUAAUCAACUUAAAUCAAUUAUAUCUAUCAUGCAAUGCAUUUCCUUCUAAUUUUUUGUGAUAAACUAAUAGAUAAUUGACUAAAUAAACAUCCUGCAAAGUUUCAAUAAAAAUUUCCAAGUUUUCCUUACAAUUUCCGUGGUUUUUAUUCAAUUUUUAUCGAUAUCGAUAAUAUCCCGAUAUUUCUAUUAAAAUUUCCGUGUUUUUAAACUACCGAUAUUUCCGAUAUGAUCGAUAUUUUAUAUAUAAAACUCCACCCCCGUUUUUUAGAAUUGUUUUAUGGGAUUGGUUGGUGAGCCACGUGGGGACCACUUUGUAUUUGUGUCCCCCGGCCUCUCUCCUCUCUGCUCUCCC
RNAcentral lists this long non-coding RNA (1742 nucleotides) under Malus domestica (apple). RNAcentral's name for it is "long non-coding RNA (MDOM_LNC015946)". Lineage: Eukaryota; Viridiplantae; Streptophyta; Magnoliopsida; Rosales; Rosaceae. The record is from RNAcentral.